This 209-nucleotide ribosomal RNA is filed under the name uncultured bacterium. Its description in RNAcentral is "partial 16S ribosomal RNA". It matches the Rfam family "Bacterial small subunit ribosomal RNA", at positions 524 to 731 of the family's 1533-position model. The record is from RNAcentral.
CACGUAGGGUGCGAGCGUUGUCCGGAAUUAUUGGGCGUAAAGAGCGUGUAGGCGGCCAGGUAGGUCUGCUGUGAAAACUCGAGGCUCAACCUCGAGACGUCGGCGGAAACCAUCUGGCUAGAGUCCGGAAGAGGAGAGUGGAAUUCCUGGUGUAGCGGUGAAAUGCGUAGAUAUCAGGAGGAACACCGGUGGCGAAAGGCGGAUCUCUG